UACGAGGGGUGCAAGCGUUGCUCGGAAUUACUGGGCGUAAAGGGCGCGUAGGCGGCCUGCUAAGUCGAACGUGAAAUCCCUGGGCUUAACCCAGGAACUGCGUCCGAUACUGGCAGGCUUGAAUCCGGGAGAGGGAUGCGGAAUUCCAGGUGUAGCGGUGAAAUGCGUAGAUAUCUGGAGGAACACCGGUGGCGAAGGCGGCAUCCUGGACCGGCAUUGACGCUGAGGCGCGAAAGCCAGGGGAGCAAACGGG
RNAcentral lists this ribosomal RNA (253 nucleotides) under uncultured bacterium. RNAcentral describes it as "partial 16S ribosomal RNA". It matches the Rfam family "Bacterial small subunit ribosomal RNA", at positions 524 to 776 of the family's 1533-position model. The record is from RNAcentral.